Molecule: long non-coding RNA, 264 nt
Filed under: Chloebia gouldiae (Gouldian finch)
Lineage: Eukaryota; Metazoa; Chordata; Aves; Passeriformes; Passeridae
Description: Erythrura gouldiae (Gouldian finch) lncRNA (ENSEGOG00005016424.1)
Source: RNAcentral
AGCAUGUCCAGGAAAGAAAAAAAAAUCAUUAUUUUGUCAUAUUGGGCCAACAUUUGAGGGUUUUUGAACAUAAACCUGGAAGUUUUAUGCCCUUGGUGGUGAUGGCACAUCAGGAUCCAGGAUGAUGGACCAAAGCUUGUCAGCUCUAAUCACAGAGUAUGGAAAACAUGUGCAAGAAAUGAGAGAACAGCUGCAGCGUUAUCAGGCACAAAUGGGUGAGAUGAAGCUAAAAUUGGAAGAAGUCACCAAGGAAAAUGAAAGGUA